RNAcentral lists this ribosomal RNA (440 nucleotides) under uncultured bacterium. Its description in RNAcentral is "partial 16S ribosomal RNA". It matches the Rfam family "Bacterial small subunit ribosomal RNA", at positions 338 to 795 of the family's 1533-position model. The record is from RNAcentral.
CCUACGGGAGGCAGCAGUGGGGGAUAUUGCACAAUGGGGGGAACCCUGAUGCAGCGACGCCGCGUGGGUGAAGAAGCGCCUCGGCGCGUAAAGCCCUGUCAGCAGGGAAGAAAAUGACGGUACCUGACGAAGAAGCCCCGGCUAACUACGUGCCAGCAGCCGCGGUAAUACGUAGGGGGCAAGCGUUAUCCGGAUUUACUGGGUGUAAAGGGGGCGUAGACGGCGCUGCAAGUCAGGAGUGAAAGGCCGGGGCCCAACCCCGGGACUGCUCUUGGAACUGCGUGGCUGGAGUGCAGGAGGGGCAGGCGGAAUUCCUGGUGUAGCGGUGAAAUGCGUAGAUAUCAGGAGGAACACCGGUGGCGAAGGCGGCCUGCUGGACUGCAACUGACGUUGAGGCCCGAAAGCGUGGGGAGCAAACAGGAUUAGAUACCCCUGUAGUC